GGUUAAGCGACUAAGCGUACACGGUGGAUGCCCUGGCAGUCAGAGGCGAUGAAGGACGUGCUAAUCUGCGAUAAGCGUCGGUGAGGUGAUAUGAACCGUUAUAACCGGCGAUUUCCGAAUGGGGAAACCCAGUGUGUUUCGACACACUAUCAUUAACUGAAUCCAUAGGUUAAUGAGGCGAACCGGGGGAACUGAAACAUCUAAGUACCCCGAGGAAAAGAAAUCAACCGAGAUUCCCCCAGUAGCGGCGAGCGAACGGGGAGGAGCCCAGAGCCUGAAUCAGUGUGUGUGUUAGUGGAAGCGUCUGGAAAGGCGUGCGAUACAGGGUGACAGCCCCGUACACAAAAAUGCACAUAUUGUGAGCUCGAUGAGUAGGGCGGGACACGUGGUAUCCUGUCUGAAUAUGGGGGGACCAUCCUCCAAGGCUAAAUACUCCUGACUGACCGAUAGUGAACCAGUACCGUGAGGGAAAGGCGAAAAGAACCCCGGCGAGGGGAGUGAAAAAGAACCUGAAACCGUGUACGUACAAGCAGUGGGAGCCUCUUUAUGGGGUGACUGCGUACCUUUUGUAUAAUGGGUCAGCGACUUAUAUUCUGUAGCAAGGUUAACCGAAUAGGGGAGCCGAAGGGAAACCGAGUCUUAACUGGGCGUUAAGUUGCAGGGUAUAGACCCGAAACCCGGUGAUCUAGCCAUGGGCAGGUUGAAGGUUGGGUAACACUAACUGGAGGACCGAACCGACUAAUGUUGAAAAAUUAGCGGAUGACUUGUGGCUGGGGGUGAAAGGCCAAUCAAACCGGGAGAUAGCUGGUUCUCCCCGAAAGCUAUUUAGGUAGCGCCUCGUGAAUUCAUCUCCGGGGGUAGAGCACUGUUUCGGCAAGGGGGUCAUCCCGACUUACCAACCCGAUGCAAACUGCGAAUACCGGAGAAUGUUAUCACGGGAGACACACGGCGGGUGCUAACGUCCGUCGUGAAGAGGGAAACAACCCAGACCGCCAGCUAAGGUCCCAAAGUCAUGGUUAAGUGGGAAACGAUGUGGGAAGGCCCAGACAGCCAGGAUGUUGGCUUAGAAGCAGCCAUCAUUUAAAGAAAGCGUAAUAGCUCACUGGUCGAGUCGGCCUGCGCGGAAGAUGUAACGGGGCUAAACCAUGCACCGAAGCUGCGGCAGCGACACUAUGUGUUGUUGGGUAGGGGAGCGUUCUGUAAGCCUGUGAAGGUGGCCUGUGAGGGUUGCUGGAGGUAUCAGAAGUGCGAAUGCUGACAUAAGUAACGAUAAAGCGGGUGAAAAGCCCGCUCGCCGGAAGACCAAGGGUUCCUGUCCAACGUUAAUCGGGGCAGGGUGAGUCGACCCCUAAGGCGAGGCCGAAAGGCGUAGUCGAUGGGAAACAGGUUAAUAUUCCUGUACUUGGUGUUACUGCGAAGGGGGGACGGAGAAGGCUAUGUUGGCCGGGCGACGGUUGUCCCGGUUUAAGCGUGUAGGCUGGUUUUCCAGGCAAAUCCGGAAAACCAAGGCUGAGGCGUGAUGACGAGGCACUACGGUGCUGAAGCGACAAAUGCCCUGCUUCCAGGAAAAGCCUCUAAGCAUCAGGUAACAUCAAAUCGUACCCCAAACCGACACAGGUGGUCAGGUAGAGAAUACCAAGGCGCUUGAGAGAACUCGGGUGAAGGAACUAGGCAAAAUGGUGCCGUAACUUCGGGAGAAGGCACGCUGAUAUGUAGGUGAAGCGACUUGCUCGUGGAGCUGAAAUCAGUCGAAGAUACCAGCUGGCUGCAACUGUUUAUUAAAAACACAGCACUGUGCAAACACGAAAGUGGACGUAUACGGUGUGACGCCUGCCCGGUGCCGGAAGGUUAAUUGAUGGGGUUAGCGGUAACGCGAAGCUCUUGAUCGAAGCCCCGGUAAACGGCGGCCGUAACUAUAACGGUCCUAAGGUAGCGAAAUUCCUUGUCGGGUAAGUUCCGACCUGCACGAAUGGCGUAAUGAUGGCCAGGCUGUCUCCACCCGAGACUCAGUGAAAUUGAACUCGCUGUGAAGAUGCAGUGUACCCGCGGCAAGACGGAAAGACCCCGUGAACCUUUACUAUAGCUUGACACUGAACAUUGAGCCUUGAUGUGUAGGAUAGGUGGGAGGCUUUGAAGUGUGGACGCCAGUCUGCAUGGAGCCGACCUUGAAAUACCACCCUUUAAUGUUUGAUGUUCUAACGUUGGCCCGUAAUCCGGGUUGCGGACAGUGUCUGGUGGGUAGUUUGACUGGGGCGGUCUCCUCCUAAAGAGUAACGGAGGAGCACGAAGGUUGGCUAAUCCUGGUCGGACAUCAGGAGGUUAGUGCAAUGGCAUAAGCCAGCUUGACUGCGAGCGUGACGGCGCGAGCAGGUGCGAAAGCAGGUCAUAGUGAUCCGGUGGUUCUGAAUGGAAGGGCCAUCGCUCAACGGAUAAAAGGUACUCCGGGGAUAACAGGCUGAUACCGCCCAAGAGUUCAUAUCGACGGCGGUGUUUGGCACCUCGAUGUCGGCUCAUCACAUCCUGGGGCUGAAGUAGGUCCCAAGGGUAUGGCUGUUCGCCAUUUAAAGUGGUACGCGAGCUGGGUUUAGAACGUCGUGAGACAGUUCGGUCCCUAUCUGCCGUGGGCGCUGGAGAACUGAGGGGGGCUGCUCCUAGUACGAGAGGACCGGAGUGGACGCAUCACUGGUGUUCGGGUUGUCAUGCCAAUGGCACUGCCCGGUAGCUAAAUGCGGAAGAGAUAAGUGCUGAAAGCAUCUAAGCACGAAACUUGCCCCGAGAUGAGUUCUCCCUGAGACUUAGAGUCUCCUGAAGGAACGUUGAAGACGACGACGUUGAUAGGCCGGGUGUGUAAGCGCAGCGAUGCGUUGAGCUAACCGGUACUAAUGAACCGUGAGGCUUAACCUU
This 2904-nucleotide ribosomal RNA is filed under the name Escherichia coli. Its description in RNAcentral is "23S ribosomal RNA". It matches the Rfam family "Bacterial large subunit ribosomal RNA". The record is from RNAcentral. Lineage: Bacteria; Pseudomonadati; Pseudomonadota; Gammaproteobacteria; Enterobacterales; Enterobacteriaceae. RNAcentral also lists the same sequence under 1 other name.